Molecule: ribosomal RNA, 577 nt
Filed under: uncultured bacterium
Lineage: Bacteria
Description: bacterial SSU rRNA
Rfam family: Bacterial small subunit ribosomal RNA
Source: RNAcentral
ACGGGUGAGUAACACGUAGGCAACCUGCCCUCAAGUUUGGGACAACUACCGGAAACGGUAGCUAAUACCGAAUAAUUGUUUCCUUCGCCUGAAGGAAAUUGGAAAGACGGAGCAAUCUGUCACUUGGGGAUGGGCCUGCGGCGCAUUAGCUAGUUGGUGGGGUAACGGCUCACCAAGGCGACGAUGCGUAGCCGACCUGAGAGGGUGAUCGGCCACACUGGGACUGAGACACGGCCCAGACUCCUACGGGAGGCAGCAGUAGGGAAUCUUCCGCAAUGGGCGAAAGCCUGACGGAGCAAUGCCGCGUGAGUGAUGAAGGUUUUCGGAUCGUAAAGCUCUGUUGCCAGGGAAGAACGCUUGGGAGAGUAACUGCUCUCAAGGUGACGGUACCUGAGAAGAAAGCCCCGGCUAACUACGUGCCAGCAGCCGCGGUAAUACGUAGGGGGCAAGCGUUGUCCGGAAUUAUUGGGCGUAAAGCGCGCGCAGGCGGUCAUUUAAGUCUGGUGUUUAAUCCCGGGGCUCAACCCCGGAUCGCACUGGAAACUGGGUGACUUGAGUGCAGAAGAGGAGAGUGGAA